UGAAUACGAGACGCUAAGGCGUCGAAGUAGUGUAUGUCAUACUUCCAAGAAAAGCUUGCACUGUCAUAGAUAAAAAACGCCUGUACCAUAACCGACACAGGUGGGUAGGUAGAGUAUACUAAGGGGCGCGAGAUAACUCUCUCUAAGGAACUCGGCAAAAUAACUCCGUAACUUCGGGAGAAGGAGUGCCUUAUUAUUAAGGUUGCAAUAACAAGAUCCAAGCAACUGUUUAUCAAAAACACAGGUCUCCGCUAAGUCGUAAGACGAUGUAUGGGGGCUGACGCCUGCCCAGUGCCAGAAGGUUAAAGAAGCUGGUUAGCAUUUGCGAAGCUAGUAACUGAAGCCCUGGUGAACGGCGGCCGUAACAAUAACGGUCCUAAGGUAGCGAAAUUCCUUGUCGGGUAAGUUCCGACCCGCACGAAAGGCGUAAUGAUUUGGAUACUGUCUCGGAGAGGGGCUCGGUGAAAUAGACUUGUCUGUGAAGAUGCGGACUACCUGCACCAGGACAGAAAGACCCUAUGAAGCUUUACUGUAACUUGAAAUUGAAAUCGGACUUUAUUCGCGCAGUAUAGGUGGGAGGCGUUGAUUAUAAUCUUGUGGGAUUAUUUGAGCCAUUAGUGAGAUACCACUCUUGUAAUGUUAGAUUUCUAACUUUGAAUCAUUAUCUGGUCAAAGAACAGUUUCAGGCGGGCAGUUUGACAGGGGCGGUCGCCUCCUAGACGGUAACGGAGGCGUACAAAGGUUUCCUCUGAACGGUUAGAAAUCGUAUCUAGAGUGUAAAGGCAUAAGGAAGCUUGACUGUGAGACCUACAAGUCGAGCAGGGACGAAAGUCGGUCUUAGUGAUCUGACGGUACUGAGUGGAAAGGCCGUCACUCAACGGAUAAAAGUUACUCUAAGGAUAACAGGCUGAUCUCCCCCAAGAGUUCACAUCGACGGGGAGGUUUGGCACCUCGAUGUCGGCUCAUCGCAUCCUGGGGCGGUAGUACGUCCCAAGGGUUGGGCUGUUCGCCCAUGAAAGCGGUACGCGAGCUGGGUUCAGAACGUCGUGAGACAGUUCGGUCCAUAUCCGGUGUAGGCGUUAGAAUAUUGAGAGGAGCCUUCUUUAGUACGAGAGGACCGAGAAGGACGUACCUCUGGUGUACCAGUUAUCGUGCCAACGGUAGACGCUGGGUAGCUAUGUAUGGAGUGGAUAACCGCUGAAAGCAUCUAAGUGGGAAGCCCACCUCAAGAUAAG
This 1235-nucleotide ribosomal RNA is filed under the name metagenome. Its description in RNAcentral is "bacterial LSU rRNA". It matches the Rfam family "Bacterial large subunit ribosomal RNA", at positions 1564 to 2808 of the family's 2925-position model. The record is from RNAcentral.